UACAGAGGUCUCAACCGCUGUUCGGAUUCAUUGGGCGUAAAGGGUGCGUAGGCGGUCGCGCAAGUCGGAUGUGAAAUCUCGAGGCUCAACCUCGAAACUGCAUUCGAUACUGCGUGGCUAGAGUGCUGGAGGGGAGACUGGAAUUUACGGUGUAGCAGUGAAAUGCGUAGAUAUCGUAAGGAAGACCAGUGGCGAAGGCGAGUCUCUGGACAGCAACUGACGCUGAGGCACGAAGGCCAGGGGAGCAAACGGG
RNAcentral lists this ribosomal RNA (253 nucleotides) under uncultured bacterium. RNAcentral's name for it is "partial 16S ribosomal RNA". It matches the Rfam family "Bacterial small subunit ribosomal RNA", at positions 524 to 776 of the family's 1533-position model. The record is from RNAcentral.